GACAGAGGGUGCAACGUUGCUCGGAAUUACUGGGCGUAAAGCGCGUGUAGGCGGUCUCGCGAGUCGGGUGUGAAAGCCCUGGGCUCAACCCAGGAAGUGCACUCGAAACUGCGAGGCUAGAGUACUGGAGAGGUUGGUGGAAUUCUCGGGUGUAGAGGUGAAAUUCGUAGAUAUCGAGAGGACACCGGUGGCGAAGGCGGCCAACUGGACAGAUACUGACGCUGAGGAGCGAAAGCGUGGGAGCGAACAGG
RNAcentral lists this ribosomal RNA (251 nucleotides) under uncultured bacterium. RNAcentral's name for it is "partial 16S ribosomal RNA". It matches the Rfam family "Bacterial small subunit ribosomal RNA", at positions 524 to 776 of the family's 1533-position model. The record is from RNAcentral.